Molecule: ribosomal RNA, 433 nt
Filed under: uncultured bacterium
Lineage: Bacteria
Description: partial 16S ribosomal RNA
Rfam family: Bacterial small subunit ribosomal RNA
Source: RNAcentral
AACGAACGCUGGCAGCAUGCCUAACACAUGCAAGUCGAACGAGACCUUCGGGUCUAGUGGCGCACGGGUGCGUAACGCGUGGGAACCUGCCCUUAGGUUCGGAAUAACUCCCCGAAAGGGGUGCUAAUACCGGAUAAUGUCUUCGGACCAAAGAUUUAUCGCCUUUGGAUGGGCCCGCGUUGGAUUAGCUAGUUGGUAGGGUAAAAGCCUACCAAGGCGACGAUCCAUAGCUGGUCUGAGAGGAUGAUCAGCCACACUGGGACUGAGACACGGCCCAGACUCCUACGGGAAGCAGCAGUGGGGAAUAUUGGACAAUGGGCGAAAGCCUGAUCCAGCAAUGCCGCGUGAGUGAUGAAGGCCUUAGGGUUGUAAAGAUCUUUUACCCGGGAUGAUAAUGACAGUACCGGGAGAAUAAGCUCCGGCUAACUCCGUG